Molecule: long non-coding RNA, 252 nt
Organism: Helianthus annuus (common sunflower)
Lineage: Eukaryota; Viridiplantae; Streptophyta; Magnoliopsida; Asterales; Asteraceae
Exons: 3
Source: RefSeq, a predicted model, not a curated record
AAGUUAAAGUAACCGCUUGCUCUAUGAUUAUAAUAGAAAAGAGAUAUGCUGCAACGAUGAUGGAAAUGAGUGAUAAACCGUUGAGAUUUUUCUUGUCAUCAACUUCAUUUGUUUCGAAAGGUCUUACGCUACACAUGAACAGCAAAGUGUUUAAAAACGGAAGCAACGAUAACAUCAGAAUGUAUGGAGUGGGUCCAGCGUUGAAAACUGUUUGAUAUACUUGAAGCAGUAUAGCUCCACUAAAGCCAAGAA